This 66-nucleotide transfer RNA is filed under the name Helarctos malayanus (Malayan sun bear). RNAcentral's name for it is "tRNA-Pro". Lineage: Eukaryota; Metazoa; Chordata; Mammalia; Carnivora; Ursidae. The record is from RNAcentral.
CAGGGAAUAGUUUAAAUAGAACAUCAGCUUUGGGUGCUGAUAGUGGGGCUGUUGCUUCUUCCUUGA